RNAcentral lists this ribosomal RNA (468 nucleotides) under uncultured bacterium. Its description in RNAcentral is "partial 16S ribosomal RNA". It matches the Rfam family "Bacterial small subunit ribosomal RNA", at positions 28 to 507 of the family's 1533-position model. The record is from RNAcentral.
GACGAACGCUGGCGGCGUGCUUAACACAUGCAAGUCGAACGGAAAGGCCCUGCUUUUGUGGGGUGCUCGAGUGGCGAACGGGUGAGUAACACGUGAGUAACCUGCCCUUGACUUUGGGAUAACUUCAGGAAACUGGGGCUAAUACCGGAUAGGAGCUCCUGCUGCAUGGUGGGGGUUGGAAAGUUUGGGCGGUUGGGGAUGGACUCGCGGCUGAUCAGCUUGUUGGUGGGGUAGUGGCUUACCAAGGCUUUGACGGGUAGCCGGCCUGAGAGGGUGACCGGCCACCAUGGGACUGCGAUACGGCCCAGACUCCUACGGGAGGCAGCAGUGGGGAAUAUUGCACAAUGGGAGGAAGCCUGAUGCAGCAACGCCGCGUGCGGGAUGACGGCCUUCGGGUUGUAAACCGCUUUAGCCUGUGACGAAGCGUGAGUGACGGUAAUGGGUAAAGAAGCACCGGCUAACUACGUG